RNAcentral lists this ribosomal RNA (254 nucleotides) under uncultured bacterium. Its description in RNAcentral is "partial 16S ribosomal RNA". It matches the Rfam family "Bacterial small subunit ribosomal RNA", at positions 524 to 777 of the family's 1533-position model. The record is from RNAcentral.
UACAGAGGGGGCAAGCGUUGUUCGGAAUUACUGGGCGUAAAGCGUGCGCAGGCGGUUUUGUAAGCCAGAUGUGAAAUCCCCGGGCUUAACCUGGGAAUGGCAUUUGGGACUGCAAGGCUCGAGUGCGGCAGAGGAGACUGGAAUUCCUGGUGUAGCAGUGAAAUGCGUAGAUAUCAGGAGGAACACCGAUGGCGAAGGCAGGUCUCUGGGCUGACACUGACGCUCAUGCACGAAAGCGUGGGGAGCAAACGAGG